UCACUGUGUAUAGCUUCGUCAACAUAGUGUCCUUUGAAUUGCAUGCUAUUUACAUGUAUCUUUAAAGAGUGUUUAAGAGUUUGGGUGGAUAUUGUUAUAAGAACAGAAGACUUUCCACAUUAUCCUCAUUGGAGUCUUAAGUGAUCUAGCACUCUGGUGUUGCAAAUGCACCCCACAUUCACCUGACUGUGACAGUUUUCUUUGACAUUUUUCUGAUUCUGUAAGUCUAUCCAAUAUUCACAUGUUGUUCACUUGCAGGCAUAUUUGACUAAUAGGAACACAUACAUAACAUCACCGGAUUUUUAUUAUAGUAACAUUUUCAGUGUUUCAUAGGCAGUAUUAGAUAAAUUUUAUUUACACAUAUAUAUAUAUAUAUAUAUAUAUAUAUAUAUGCAAAAUUAUAUAUAAAUAAUAGAAUACAGAUUACACUUAUAGAUUACAAUAUAGAUUAUUAGUGAAUUGUUCUAUAAAUGUGUGGUUUACAAUUAGUUACUCCACAAUCUAAUCUAAGAAUAAUUUAUUUUAUUAUUUUUCAAGAUCCUUUAAUAAAGUAUUUCCUCAAGUUUAAUAACGCAGACGUGUCUAAUCAAAGUGAACCAGCUCACCAUCUGCUCCCAGUUCUGCUAUUCAGGCAGGGAUAACACUAAAAUCUGCCUGUCAGAGUUUCAGUUAGGAAAAUAAAACAAGCAAUGAGACCCAAGUGACACCAGCAUUUAUCUGCAAAUCUUAAAUUGGUAUCUAUAUAGAUACGUGUAACAAAUAACAAUUAAUGAAAAAUAGAAAAGCAAAAAGGAGACUAAGAAAUAGGAGGAGUUAAGAAGUGGGUAGAUUCGUGGGUGGACCUUGAACUAUUCGGGGGAACAAUGGGAAGAUGGAUAUAAUCAAAAUAUAUUGUAGAAAAUUAUCAAAAAUUAAAUGAGAAAUUUAAAUUAAAAAAGAAUAGCACCCAUGUAGAUAUAAUCCUUAUGUAUUAUACAAAAUGAAUGCACUUAAUACAAAUCUUUUGUCAGUUAAAGAUAUUUUGCAAUAAAAUAACUAUGUGGUGAUGUUUACUGACAUAAUGAAUUACAAUCUCUAUAACCAGUUCUUUUAUAUGUAAGGCACAUGGCCUAGUAUUUCUCCUUCAUUUUCUCCAGAGGAUGCAAUCCUUUAUGGACCUAAGAGGAAUAAAUAAGAGACUAACCAAUUUAUAUGCUGGAUACAAAAUAUCUGACUAAGCUUUGUUGAACACUUUAGGUUGUCAGGAGUGCCUUUUCAUGAUGCACAUAAAGAGGCUGGCCAGGUCUGGGCUUACGGCUUGAGUAAUGGCUUAGGGAGCUCAUAGGGGUAAUUAGAAGUAAGUAUUUGUCCAUACUAUUCCUGCCCAUCAGCUAUAUGAAGCCUGGGCCAGAUCACGUUUUGAUGGGUAAACAAUAGCAUGAUUUCCCCUGUGGAGAACAGAUGAUAUGCACGUUUUAGUUCACCGGAGAGUACUCCUUUGUCAGAAUCAUACAUUAUUAAUGAUUGUUCCAACAUUGUUUUCACAAAAUGAUAAUGGCAGUGACUUGAAUCUCCUUCCUUUUGUCAGUAAGUUAGUCUGCUACUGUGUAGCCCAUAGUCAUCUUGAAUUCUCUGAGCAAACUCUCCUGGCUCUCCAUUUUCACUGUGACGCUGCAGCAGGGGAAACACUCCUCCUUUUAUUCCCAUCUCUUCUUAUCUAUUCUGAUACAGUUGGUAUUCCAGGCUGAGAAUCAAUCAACUUCAAGUUUGGCUAGAAAUCUUUGCAUAAGUCAUGCUCAUAUUUAUAUGCUUUCAAAAUGAGACUAUAGAGAAGCAGCAGUUUCAUUUUAUGGAAAGUUUUACAUUUUCCUUUUGAGUUAUAGAAUAUAAAGAAGAUAUAAUCAACAAAAUCAGCUUCAGGGACUGCAUCUUUUAAAAUUAGCUUGAUACAAUAUGAGCAUAAAUUAUCUAGCUUGAUUAUCAAAAAGGAAAGAAAAAAUGUCAUUUUGCAUUCAUGUUUCCACUUUUAUAUUUUAGCUCACUUCAUAGUCAUUGGGGGAUUGUAUUUUUAAACCAAAGUGUUUUUCCAUUGUGUUUAAAAAAAAAAGAUAAAGUUAUAAAAAGCUAUGCUGACAACACUGAAGCAGGUCAACAUACAAGUAGCAUUAAAAUAUAUAUUCUUUUUCCUCUUUUAAUUUUUAAUUCUACUUCAGUAGACAUCUCCAUUUUUCACUUCUCUUUUUUAAACAUUUUAUGGAUCCUUUGUGAAUUGCAUAAGACAAAAACAAAACCUACAAAUUUCCUUCUGGAACCUAUGUUAUGUUACAAGUGUAUCCACAGUAUACCCAGUUGUCCAUAUAUUGUUCCUUGAAAAUAUUAAUUGCAAUGAGUCAUUGGUCUUGUUUGAGGACUCUGGCUCCUGCUACACUAGUAAUACUGGAUCCUCAUUGGACAUAACUGUAUCCUCUGGGAUAUCAUGUUUUUGUUCUGUGUCAUGGACAUCCUGCAGUUAUGGACCACCAAGAGCUGUCUCUUCAUGUGCUCUAACAGUUGGUAGGUGGAGUAGAUGUUGGGUGGACCCACUUGAAUCCAUUCUUCUGGGCUUGGGUAGUAGCUAAGUUGGUCAGCGCAUCAGCUCUCCUGCAUCCACAACACCAGGUGGAGUUCUCCAGCACUGCAACAGCUAGCUCCCCCAAUUCUACAACCAAAAAGGGACAGAGCCAGGCCCCAGCACUCAUGUUCCUGCCCAUACCACCUUGUUUUGCCUCAUUAGCAUAAGGAAUUGCAAUAAAAUAACUUUGAAAUUGGCAAAUUACAUCAAAAAGUGACUCACAUUCCACCCCUGCAGUGAAGUCACUAUAGCAGGAUACAGGUAUUUGAUGUCUUUUAAGAAGUAUAAAAUUUCCAGAUGCAAUUUGUGCAAUAAUUUAUAUGAAUAGGCUUGGUGUUAAGCCAGGAACUGGGAAGGCAGAGGCAGGUGACUGACAAGUUUAACUGAGUUUAACAUUUAUAUCAUUUCAAAAUAAAAAAUAGAGUUAAUGAUAAACAAGAAAACAGAAUGUGAGGUCAACAUAUAGGAGAAUAAAACAUUGUAAUAUUUGGUAAAAUUUUCCAUAAGAUAUUGUAGUGGCUCAUUAACUCCCUUAUUUCUAAACUGGUAAGUUAUACAUUUAUGAAAUCAUUUCAGAGAUAAACAUUGAUAAAUUAAAUUUUACAUCUACAAUUCUAUUUUUUACCUCUUUUUAAUAUUAAUUUAUUUUUUACACUCCAUAUUCUAUUCCCCACCUCUAUAACCCUCUGAAUGCCCCACAUCCCACACCUCCUCUCCAUCACACCUGUCUCCACGGGGAUGCCCCCACUUCCCACUCCACCUGACAUCUAAACUCUCUGGGGCCUCCAGUUUCUUAAGGGUUAGGAGAAUCAUCUCUGAAUAAACACAGACACAAAAGUCCUCUACUGUAUGUGUGUUGGGGGUCUCAUAUCAGCUGGUGUAAGCUGUCUGUUUGGUGGUCCAGUGUUUGAGAGAUCUUGGGUGUCCAGAUUAAUUGAGACUGCUGGUCCUCCUACAGGAUCGACCUUCUCCUCAGCUUCUAUUUUUAAUAGCUAGUGCCACAAUUAAACAACAACUGAACUGAGGAAAUAAAAGGUCUUAAAAUAGAAUAUGUUAAGUAAAUAUUUGCUAAUUGUGUUUUAUAAAAGGUUUUUUAGAAAAAAAACAAGAGCUUACAAUGUUAUAAAUCUAUUAUACAGUUCAUAAUUUGAUUUAAAAUUAAUGUUUAAUAAUGUCUAGUGCUAUUUCUUUUUUGUUGAUGUUGUUCUGCUUUAAUUUUUUUCGAUUUUAUUGGAUAUUUUAUUUGCAUUUCAAAUAUUAUCCCCUUUCCAGGUCUCUCCUCCAGAAGCCUCCUCUCCCAUCCCUCCUCCCCCUACCUCUAUGAGGGUGCUUCUCCACCCAUCCAUCCACUUCUGCCUUCGUACUGAGAUUCCCCUACACUGAGGCACUGAACCCUAUCAGGCCCAAGAGUGUCUCCUCCCACUGAUGUGCAACAAGGCCAUCCUCUGCUAAAUAUGUGGCGGGAGCCAUGGGUCCCUCCACGUGUACUAUUUGGUUGGUUGUUCAGUCCCUGGGAGCUCCGGGGUUUGGGGGGGAGGGUCUGGUGGCUCAGAGUUGCUCCCCAAUGGGGCUGCAAAACCCCUCAGCUCCUUCAGUCCCUUCUCCAACUCCUCCAUUUGGGACCCCUUGCUCAGUCCAAUGGUUGGCUGUGAGCAUCUGCCUUAAAUAUCAGAGACAGUAUUGAAAAAUCUAGAGAGCUAUGUUAUGGUACUUUUUAAUUUUAGAAAAAUGUUUAGAAAUUAAAAAAAAACAGGUUUUCAGACAUCAAGUGGUUUUAAUAGUAUGGCAAUCAAAUAGAAAUUCACAUAUUGUUUAAUAUAUAUAUCAACUCAAAGUCCUGAUGAGAAGUUAGCACAUGACAUGGAGCAGACUCCCAGGUGUGCUGCCAGGAGCAGUGUGAGUCAUUCAUAUUUUGUUCCAGACUUAAGUCAGUUUUCCUAUCACUCCAGAAAAAAAAGCACUGGCCAUUUUUUUUAUAAUAAUAUGGACUAAAUUUGAUUAGUAUGUUAAUUAUAUGAAUCAAUUAUGCUAACUUAUACAGCAAGAUAGAAAUGCAGAUGGGCUUUUGCUUUAGAAGUAAGGAGAAACAAUAGCAUACAUAUGCUGCAAAUCAAGCUACAAGUCGCUGAGCGAAUUCAGUGCUGCCUUCCGUCCAGUCCAUGUGCCCUCUGUCCAUGCUGCUUCCCCGUGCCAAGCAAGACUUUCAGACUGCUGGCCGGUUCCUAGAGAGUUUUCCUACUGACUUGCCAAUUAUAGGGGACUUUCGGAAUAACAUUUGAAAUGUAAAUGAAGAAAAUAUCU
Molecule: long non-coding RNA, 4891 nt
Filed under: Mus musculus (house mouse)
Lineage: Eukaryota; Metazoa; Chordata; Mammalia; Rodentia; Muridae
Description: long non-coding RNA chr3:13536556-13541447
Source: RNAcentral